This is a non-coding RNA of Caenorhabditis brenneri, 73 nucleotides long. NCBI's taxonomy places the organism in Eukaryota, Metazoa, Nematoda, Chromadorea, Rhabditida, Rhabditidae. The record is from the annotation of a GenBank genome assembly.
GAAAGCAUGGCCUACUGGAUAACACUUUUGGCUGGUAAUCUAAAGGUCCGGGGUUCGAUUCCGCCUGGGUGCA